RNA transcript from Ricinus communis (castor bean), 1892 nucleotides. It is a transcript of the gene named probable enoyl-CoA hydratase 2, mitochondrial, with no coding region annotated. The transcript is spliced from 9 exons. NCBI's taxonomy places the organism in Eukaryota, Viridiplantae, Streptophyta, Magnoliopsida, Malpighiales, Euphorbiaceae. The record is from RefSeq and is a predicted model, not a curated record.
AGUUUUUGGUGAUGUGUAUAAGCUAAUUUUUCUUUUUAAAACUUAUCCAAAACCCUCUGCGACAUAACCAAACCAAACUGCUUACUCCAAUUUCUCCAUCAGAGUAGACUUAAAGCUUUCAACUUUUUAAAGAAAAUCAAAUCACACAAACACAAAAAUGGUUACAAUCCACACCCUUACACGAUCUCUGGGUCACUACUGCUCGAAAAAGGCGAAAGUUCACAGCUUUCAUCAAUUAUUCGAUUUGGGGAAACUAAUUGUUUCUUCUGAGAUUUCGAAUGGUAAAACUGAUAACAGUUCUCACCAAUUCCAAACCCGUAGAACCCUAAUCUUGGAAUCAGUCUCCUCUGAAUCAGUGAAGCUUAAAAGACUUCCAGACUCAGAUUCUGGUAUUAUGGAGGUGAAUUUGGAUAGGCCAGGAGCUAAAAAUGCUAUUGGGAAGGAAAUGCUGAGGGGGUUAAGGAAUACUUUUGAAACAAUUAAUAAUGACGCCUCCGCUAAUGUUGUUAUGAUUUGCAGCUCUGUUCCUAAAGUGUUCUGUGCAGGAGCUGAUUUGAAGCUCUACAUUUUACUGGAUUGGCAGGAGCGUAAGAUAAUGACUCCAUCUGAAGUGCAGUUUUUUGUCAACUCAUUGCGGUCCACAUUCUCACUUGUGGAGGAUCUUUGUAUUCCUACUAUCGCUGUUAUUGAAGGAGCAGCUUUGGGUGGCGGACUUGAAAUGGCUUUAUCAUGUGAUCUUCGGAUAUGUGGAGAAGAUGCAGUAUUGGGCUUGCCAGAAACAGGACUUGCUAUAAUUCCUGGAGCAGGUGGGACUCAAAGACUUCCUAGAUUGGUUGGAAAAUCUGUGGCAAAGGAGCUUAUAUUUACUGGUCGGAAGAUUGGUGGAAGAGAGGCCAUGUCAAUGGGUCUUGUCAAUUACUCUGUGCCUGCUGGUGAAGCUCGUUUAAAGGCUCUUGAAGUUGCUCGGGAAAUUAAUCAGAAGGGUCCAAUAGCAAUAAGGAUGGCAAAAAAGGCAAUUAAUGAGGGACUGAAGGUAGAUAUGGCAUCAGCUUUGGAAUUGGAAGAAGAGUGUUAUGAGCAGCUCAUGGACACAAAAGAUCGCCUGGAAGGCUUGGCGUCAUUUGCUGAAAGGCGGAAACCAAGAUAUAGGGGGGAGUAAACAGAAAAGAAUUGUACUAACAAGCAAUUUCUUGACAAAGUUGCAGAAAAGCAGAAGCCAAGGCACACAUGGGAAUAAAAUAAUACAGAUAAGCAAUUUCAAACUUAAGAACUAACAUCAUUUCCACUCAAGAGGAAUCGGCAGCUCCCUCCACCGCUGUCGCCGCCGCUCCUUAUCUCCAUCGACAAUGAAUGACACUUACCAAACCAGAGAUAGCAAACGAUAGACACGUUUGAAUGCUGCCGACAUUGAUCCACGUUCGAACGCCACCACUAAUCUGUCCAUUCCUUCGAGUUCCACUGCCGCUAGUCAAUCCGAUCCGGACUUGCCCCAACUAGCCUCUAUCGCCUCUGCACUUGAUUUUCUACAAGCUCAUUCAAACACUGUAAAGAAGAAAGCAAGUGAAAAUAGUGACAGCGUUGAUGCGAUUUGGUCUGUGCAUAGCAGAUGUUGUGUUGAGAAAGCAUUUGAGUCUUUUGGAGAUAACAGUCUCAAUUCUCCGCCUAUUGAGAUUUCCUUCAUGCCUCAAAGAAAACGAGCAUGAUUUCUUGGAUCCAUUACAAUAUCCAUUCCCGAUUGAAUGGCAUUACAAACAAUACACUAGAAAGACAAAUAACAUUAUGAUUCUUAUCUUAUCAAUUGCAGUGUAUUUGUUAGUUCUGAUUUUAUUUUUAUUUUCAGUUUGGAAUUUUGUUUGAAUUGCAAGAAAGUGAAAGAAAAAGAAAUUUAUUGA